CCCUGGAAUAGUCAAAAUCAUAGAAAGUUGAAUGGUGGCUGCCUGGGGAGUGCCAGCCAGAUGCUCCUGGAGAGUUACCGUUUAAUGGGUAUGGUCAGUUGGGACAAGAAAGUUCUAGAAAAAAAAAAAAGAAGGAAAGAAAGCUCUGGAGAUGCAUGGUGGUGAUGGUGGCACAACAAUGUGAAUGUACUUAACGCCUCUGAUGGUACACCUAAAAAUUAUUAAAAUGAUGUAUUUUAUGAGGUAUAUGAAGACCCCUGAGAUGAUGGCUGUAAGCAGCAGCCCAUGCUGGGCUCCCAGUGCACCAGGCAGUGAGGAUCCCCCGCCAAGAUAAGAGGACCCCAGAUUAAAGAAGAAGGCUUAAGCUCACUUAUACAGUGAACGGGGAUACGAGGGUGGGACAGCAGCCUGACUCCUCCUCCAGGCCGCUAGCCAUGCCAGUGCCUUGUGCUGGGGCUGAGAGACUCCCUGAUGGAGGCCCAGGGCAUAAGGACACAACACAGAGGAGAGCGCAUAGCUGCCCUGCACAUGGCCAGCAGAGGCAGUGGGCCUCCGUGUCCUUGUGAGGAGGACAUGCUUGUCACUUCCCUUACGGAGCUGCUGCGAGGAUCAGAGAUGUUUGGGAAUGUGCCUCCUGGGGCACAAGUGCCACACACACAUGUCGCUGCUUAGGGCUGCCAUUUGCCUGUCACUAAAUGCUGUCCCCCAUCCCCCUAGUUUGCCACUCAGGAUUCCUGGUCCCCAUUGAUGCAUCAGGCAAAGCCAGAAAGAGAUUCAUUCUGGGGCAAACACGCAGAGUUCAGGAAAUGGGGUCCCUUGCUCUUCUCUGGACAGGCUGAGGGAGAAGCGCCUUAGAAAGAAGGCGGAAGAAGGGGUGGCCCUGUUCCCCCAGCCUCUCCUUCAGGCCACCUGAACAUCAGUGAAGACAGCCUCUAAUGUAAAGCCACCUUUAGCUUUACCCUCGGUGCCUGCUGAAGGGGAGCAGAACCCAGUGCCAGAGGCUGGUGCCAAGUCUCUUCCUUGGACACGUGGCUGAAAGGGAGGUGGGAGCAAGCUGUGGGAACAGACUGUUCUGCAGUUCAGUGGGGCCUGGCCACAUGGGAAUGGCUUAGUGCAGGCUUUCCACCCAGCAUGGUCAUCCUUAGGGGGCUCUGAGGGGUGUCGCAGGGCAAGCGGACUUCACGGGGCAUGGUGUACCCCUUGUGGGACAGCCUAUCCCCCUCCCUGACCCGCGGGAAGGUGGGCGAGAUGGCUCCAUAGCUGAGGGCCCAGGGCCGCGUGGGGGCUGCAUCCUGAGGAGGUGAGGCCUAGACACUUCGAGUCCUCCACUGAACUCGGGCUCCAGGCUGGCUACUCACAGGCCCAGGUCAGCUGGCAGCAGGAAGGUUUGUGUUUCUCUUAAUAUCAAUUCCCAGGCAUUUAACAUUCCUCGAAGCUUAAACACAGAAACAUUUUCCUUACCAGACUGGCUUGCUGCUCUGCCAAACAUAACCUGGCGACCUCCCCUUCCCCCAAAGCCUCCAUCUGCUCCUGUCGCCAAGAUGUAAUGAUUUAUGGUGCGUUUUUCCUGAGGCUUAUGUGGCUGACAGGAACAAGGAGGAGGGAAGGAAAAGGACUUGGAAGUCCAGGUGGAGACAGUGCCAUGGGGCCCUGGCAUCUGGAUUCUGGCAGGGGAGGGGGUCGGGGCCCAUGGUGCUCACUGAAAUGGCUGCCCCAGCCUCUUUAAUUCUUCCAUUUCGUGGCCACCAAUGGCUCAGGAAGCACGGCAGCCGCUCAUGUUUCUUGGCUGGAUAUCUCCUGGAGCUAGGCAGACAGAACCUUUUCCCCGCCUGUCCCUCUGGCCAGCCCAGGGCUGUGGAGACAGAGCUCCCACCCAUUAUCCCUGCAGAAAGCAGGUUCCCAAGACUGAUUUACAAACCUCUCUCUGAUCUAAGUGACGGAGAACUGGCUUAUGGUUGCCUGGCAACACUGUCUCCCUGGCGACAGUGCUCAAGGGCUGGUCCCACAGCAUCAGGAAGGGCCAUGCACAGGAACACUCUGGGGGUGAGGGGGGUGGGAGGAGACAGGAGGCAGAUGGCUGGGCCCCCACUGAAUGGUGCCAUUCCCCUAGUCAAACAUUCAGGUGAAACAGGUAGGGAGGGGAGGAGGCCCACCUGGGUCCCUAAGGGUGCUACCACCAAGAAGACCCAGCCAAAGGCCAGACACCAGACUCUGCAAUCUCCACAGGGCCUCAGACAACAAACACUUCCUUCAAAAAGCAUUGCUCAGCUCCCUUGACCCCUCCAGAUCACAUCUGGGCGAUUGUUAAGAAGCUCAGAGCACCAAACACCCAUGGGCUCAGUCCCAGGGCCGGUUACUGUUUUCCUUGAUUUCAGGGUCACAGAAUCCACCCCAAUGAGGCCACCUAUGUCCUAAACCUGAGACCACACAAGGUGCCAGAUGGAGUAUGGAUGGCUCCAUGCUGAAUGUCAUCCUCCCAAACCUACAUCCUCCUGAUAGGUAAAUGAAUAGUAGCCAUCUUCAAAACUGGCAGAAUGUUCCAGAGACAUAGGCUGCAAAUGAGGGCCCCAAGAAAUACAGCUGAGGCACAAAUACUCUUAACCUGACUCAGGACCUGGUUCUACCAAUACCCAGAGAACCCAUCUUAAGUCAAUCAACUGGCGUGGAUAAGGCUCAGCCACCCUAGCAGCAAGUCAGAGACCAGCCCUCAGCAAGCCAGCAGGAUUCUAAGCCCUUCUACUUCAGUGGCAAAUGCUCAGGGCCCCACGCCUCCUAUGCCAGACAUUGCUAAUCGAACACAGCAUUCACGGACACAGCUUCAGAAUUCUUCUUAACACAGUGUUCCCAGGAAGAGCCAUCAAUAGACUAUAGAAUUGGGAAGUGAAAGCAAAGAUGGCUGCUAUCCCCUGAGUCCAUUGUGCAGGAGUGAGCAUGAUGCACCUGAACCAGCCUUGGAAGCCUGAGGAAGCAGGCACACAUGGGUUUCUGGAGCUAGAAUAAGACACCAUCUCAGCAGGGGAGAACCACCGCCUUGGGAAAUUUUCUCAAACCAGUUUUGAACUCAAGUCACAAAAGACCAAGCACCUUAACCAAGAAGGCAGGUGAACAGUAACAUCAAUUAAGUGCCACCUGCCCUGGCACCUCGUGGGGUGACUGUGAGGGCCACAGAGGAGACUAUGGAAACGCAAGAGGCCGCUCUUGUCACAGAUAAGUGUGAAGUGGGGUGGGACUUUACCCUUCUUCUGUAGCUUCUGAAUGGCUUCUCUCCACUCCGACCUCUCAUAGUCCGAGGACAGUAGGAACAAGUAGCUCUGAAGACAGAUGAGAAUUCAGCGGGGUGACCACACGGCCAAGCACAUUCCCGGCUCCUUCUCACCCAGGCACUUGAGGCUUGGCCCAGGGGGCAGCUGGGAGGAGAGCCCCCAGUCUGGAAGCCCAGCGACAGGAGUGGCAGUGCCAGCGAUGGCCAGCAGGGGGCACUGGCUCCUCACCAGCCGGGGGAGGGAGUCCAGGGGCAGGAGCUGUGGCAACAUCCUUGGGAAUUGGGCCUGAGUCCCUGAUUCCCACAGGUCAUAGAUAGGAGCCCUAGAGAACAGGCAGCCCUGGACUGAGGAAGGGGGCCACCUUGGUCCCAUCACCACCCCUCCCUCACCUUUCCAUUCCGAUUGUGGAUCCGAAAUGGGAUCGUGGGGGAGUUGAGCAGCAACAAGAACUCAUUCUCGAACAUCUUCUUUUUCAGGCGCUCAAUGGCCCGGCUCUGUCCUUUGUUGGCUUUCUGUGGGGGCCAGAGGGCACAGAUGGUUUCCCUCACACACUUCACUCCUCACUUGGCAGCUCUAUGCACAGCACUUCCUUGGGCACUAAUCGUGUCUUUUCCUUUGUUUAUAUUUUAUGAUGCUUUGUUAUCUUGGGGGUGCCUAGUUGGCCAGGGAGAAAACUACCCCUCCUAGGGCAAGCUGAUCCCUAAGAUAGUAAAGGACCUCUCUGUGUACAUACCUCCAUGGAUAAACCAUCCAGGCCUGGGUUCAUACCCCCAAACACUUCCUCUACCUACCCCCAAUUCACUGACCCAAUAUUCCUCUGUCCUAAAUAACCCAGGGCCAGGUAGCAGACAGCUAGGGACCACCCCAGAGCCCAGACCCUACUGAGUUUUCAAACCCCUAGUCCUAAGCAGUUGCCUCUGCCUGCUUUCCUUUCCUAUGGCAGACACAAUACAGGCUCUGGGCUGGGUUCUCCCCCUGUGUCUUUGGCAUCCUGCCCAAAACUGGUGCUUCCCCUGUGGCCCUGAGUGGGAUGAUGCGCCCCUUCCUCUUGGUAACUGUGAGAAAUAAGAAUCCUCUUGUAGUGCCACUAGCCUAACCACGUCAUCACUCAGUCACCUCAAUAAAUCACUGGUGACUGGGUACCAUCAAAAUACCCUGCUUAAAAACCUCAGAUGCCAUUCAGCAAAACCCUAACUGCUGGCCUGGCACAUGGGGCCUCUGUGCCCAGCCAAAUACCCUACCAUGCCCCACCCUGUAUGUUCCACCUCAGCCGCACAGUAUUAUUCCUUGUUCAUUUUUUUUUUUUAAAGAUUUUUAUUUCUUUGACACACAGAGAGAAAGAGCGAGCGAGCGAGCACAAGCAGGCGGAGCGGGAGAACCAGGCUCCAGCAGGGAGCCUGAUGCGGGGCUCAAUCCCAGAACCCUGGGAUCAUGACCUGAGCUAAAGGCAGACACUUAAUCGAAUGAGCCAAACAGGUGCCCCUAUUUCUUGUUCUUUAAUAAGCCCUUAUGUCUCAGCCCAAUUUUUCAACUUUACAUUUUAUGAAGGAUCCCUUCCCUUUUAGUAACUGUUAUGAGGCUUCAAGUUUCUGUUCCAGCAUCAACUUCUGCAGACACUUAAUCGAAUGAGCCAAACAGGUGCCCCUAUUUCUUGUUCUUUAAUAAGCCCUUAUGUCUCAGCCCAAUUUUUCAACUUUACAUUUUAUGAAGGAUCCCUUCCCUUUUAUUUUUUUUUCCCUUCCCUUUUAGUAACUGUUAUGAGGCUUCAAGUUUCUGUUCCAGCAUCAACUUCAAGUUCCUCAGUUAGAAUUCAUCUCUACGGACUUGCUUUACCCACUAGACUGGCAACAAUGGUAACAACUGCUCACAGCCAGUGUUAUGACAGCGUAGGAGGGGACAGUGACUCUCACACUGCUGGUGGGGUACACAAUGGACUGCAAUCUUCCCAGAGGGACUCUCCUCACAUCGUGUCACAUGCUGAGGUCAGUAACGGGCAAGACAAGGAGCUCCGUGAGGUGUCUGGCACACCCCUGCAGCGAGCAACCAGUGGAGUUCAGGAAGUGUUGAUUCGACUGAGCAGAAGGCCAUGUCUGCACACCUGGGGCAGGAGGGAGGAGACAAAGUCCACCAGCGACCAGGACUGGGAGAAACAGGCAUGCAGGAUGCCCUGGGUGGGGCUGGUAGGCAGUGCUGGCUGGGGAAACAGGCUCCACUGAGGCAGGGUGAGGCUUGGCCAGUCAGGAGGAGGACACCUGUGCCCCUCUGAGCAGAUGUGCCCCCAGUGAGACCCUCAGUCCUAGGUCAUCCCUUUGCCCCAGACCCCCCUGGGGUCAUCACUGUGGUCUUCCUCUCCUUCAAAGAGGGAUGUCAAAGCUGAAAGGAAUCUUUUUUUUUUUUUUUUUUU
Canis lupus familiaris (dog) is the source of this 5667-nucleotide long non-coding RNA. RefSeq lists it as uncharacterized. The transcript has 5 exons. NCBI's taxonomy places the organism in Eukaryota, Metazoa, Chordata, Mammalia, Carnivora, Canidae. The record is from RefSeq and is a predicted model, not a curated record.